This 253-nucleotide ribosomal RNA is filed under the name uncultured bacterium. RNAcentral describes it as "partial 16S ribosomal RNA". It matches the Rfam family "Bacterial small subunit ribosomal RNA", at positions 524 to 776 of the family's 1533-position model. The record is from RNAcentral.
UACGUAGGGUGCGAGCGUUAAUCGGAAUUACUGGGCGUAAAGCGUGCGCAGGCGGUUCGUUAAGUUCGUCGUGAAAGCCCCGGGCUCAACCUGGGAAUGGCGAUGGAAACUGGCGGGCUGGAGUAUGGCAGAGGGGGGUGGAAUUCCGCGUGUAGCAGUGAAAUGCAUAGAUAUCGUCAAGAACACCGAUAGCGAAGGCAGCUUACCAAGCUGUAACUGACACUGAGGCACGAAAGUGUGGGGAUCAAACAGG